This 73-nucleotide transfer RNA is filed under the name Anomaloglossus sp. Paru. RNAcentral's name for it is "tRNA-Thr". It matches the Rfam family "tRNA". Rfam says of the family: Transfer RNA (tRNA) molecules are approximately 80 nucleotides in length. The record is from RNAcentral. Lineage: Eukaryota; Metazoa; Chordata; Amphibia; Anura; Aromobatidae.
GCCCUAGUAGCUUAAUUUUUAAAGCAUUGGUCUUGUAAACCAAAGAUUGAAGACUAAGAAUCUUCUUAGAGCU